This 248-nucleotide long non-coding RNA is filed under the name Gossypium barbadense (sea-island cotton). Its description in RNAcentral is "long non-coding RNA (GBAR_LNC020503)". Lineage: Eukaryota; Viridiplantae; Streptophyta; Magnoliopsida; Malvales; Malvaceae. The record is from RNAcentral.
ACUAAGCAAAAAAUCGACCUUUCCAAAGUAGCAUUGUCUCAUAUCACUUUUCUCUUUGGUUUUUUCCUCAUAAAAAUAUAAAAAAGGCAUACGUAAAUUCGAUUUAUAGGAGAAGUUAUUUUUACACCUAUUCAGUUUAUACACGCAUGUAAAGGACAUACUUACAAAAAUACCCUUGAUUUGAAUUUUCAUGAAGUAACAUGGAGCCCACAACAGUUCUCAGGAUUCAUCCAUAAAUAUGAGCCUCC